CCUACGGGGGGCAGCAGUCGAGAAUCAUUCACAAUGGGGGAAACCCUGAUGGUGCGACGCCGCGUGGGGGAAUGAAGGUCUUCGGAUUGUAAACCCCUGUCAUGUGGGAGCAAAUUAAAAAGAUAGUACCACAAGAGGAAGAGACGGCUAACUCUGUGCCAGCAGCCGCGGUAAUACAGAGGUCUCAAGCGUUGUUCGGAAUCACGGGGCGUAAAGCGUGCGUAGGCUGUUUCGUAAGUCGUGUGUGAAAGGCGCGGGCUCAACCCGCGGACGGCACAUGAUACUGCGAGACUAGAGUAAGGGAGGAGGAACCGGAAUGCUCGGUGUAGCAGUGAAAUGCGUAGAUAUCGAGAGGAACACUCGUGGCGAAGGCGGGUUCCUGGACAUUAACUGACGCUGAGGCACGAAGGCCAGGGGAGCGAAAGGGAUUAGAUACCCGAGUAGUC
Molecule: ribosomal RNA, 446 nt
Filed under: uncultured bacterium
Lineage: Bacteria
Description: partial 16S ribosomal RNA
Rfam family: Bacterial small subunit ribosomal RNA
Source: RNAcentral